This 264-nucleotide unclassified non-coding RNA is filed under the name fungal sp. RNAcentral describes it as "partial internal transcribed spacer region". The stretch from base 1 to 46 matches the Rfam family "Eukaryotic small subunit ribosomal RNA", at positions 1786 to 1831 of the family's 1831-position model. The record is from RNAcentral. Lineage: Eukaryota; Fungi.
AAGUCGUAACAAGGUUUCCGUAGGUGAACCUGCGGAAGGAUCAUUAACACGUAUCGUUAAAACAACCCCGUGAACUUUCAGCUUGCUCCUGUAGCCCGUGACAGCAGCAAUCCCUGGUAAAUCAUUGUUGACCAGCUUUUGAGUCAGAGAUGGGCUGAAGGAUGGCCACGGCCGGCGACACAACUACAGUCUAACCUCGCCGCGCGUGAAAUUCGCACGGCACCAAAAACCGAACAACUGUUAACAAUGGAUAUCUUGGUUCUC